Pelobates cultripes (western spadefoot toad) is the source of this 225-nucleotide non-coding RNA. NCBI's taxonomy places the organism in Eukaryota, Metazoa, Chordata, Amphibia, Anura, Pelobatidae. The record is from the annotation of a GenBank genome assembly.
CAUAAAUCCACAGCUCAAAACCAAGUGAUGUCAUCCUAUGCUGCGCCUCGUCCAGACUCAAAGAACAGAACAUGAAAGCAGCAAGAAAUAUUCAUAUGAUCCCUGCAUACGCACAAAUAAAGAUCUACCCAGAUCUUUCCUAUCAUACAAGAAAGAAGACGAUAUAUGGAUUUAACAAAAACACUCCUAAAUAAGGAUAUAAAAUAUAAAGGGGGUUUCCCCACA